Molecule: long non-coding RNA, 1540 nt
Organism: Mauremys mutica (yellowpond turtle)
Lineage: Eukaryota; Metazoa; Chordata; Testudines; Geoemydidae
Exons: 3
Source: RefSeq, a predicted model, not a curated record
GUUCCAGGACUGGAGCAUAGAGCGUAAACAACUAAUUACCCAGAGAGAAGAACUUGUGAGUCCUGGUGUGACGGUGCAUCUGGUACCUCCUGCCAGAGCAACAACAAAUACAGAGUAACUCCCAGAACUGUUCCUGGACACCACAUGGUCAUAGUUGUAGGUGACCUUCUCCUCUGAACCCCGCUGGGAUGAAACCUCCUCCCCGUCCUUGCAGAAGAUGAUGCGGGUGGCCAGGAGCUGGGACAGCACGGAGCACUGGAGCCGCAUGGAGUCCCCUGGCUGGGCAGACGUCUGGCUCAGGUCCUGCUUCCCUUCUCCUGGCCCAAACCUCAGGGCAGCCUGGGCAGAAUUAGACCCAUCUCUCCAGCCCCAUGGAUGGAGCCAGAUGCUGCAGGACUAGAGAGCGACAGGCUGCUGCUCAGAAGAAGGAAGAGAGAGGAUAGUCACUGCUGUGAGCUGGGGGCUCCUGCUCCUCAACUAUCUGCACACACAGCCCAGCUGCUCUGUGCAGCUGCAGAGGGAGGGAACCACAGGACGAGCUGACAGCACCCUGAGCAUCUUCUCAUGCCUAGCCUGAGCUAGCUCUCCCCGGCCUGACUGAGUUAGCAGCCCAGCGAGGUGGGGGUGUAUCAUACGCUGAGAUGUGGGAUUAAAUAAGAUGCUCACACAAUGUUAUUUUUGUCCUCACACAUUAACCUGCCUCCCCUACCCCCCGCUUUAGUCUGUUCUCAUGAGGUUUUCAGGGGAGUUUAUUUAAAGGCCAGAAGGGACCAAUGUGACCAUCUAGUCAGAACAUCUACAUAGCCCAGGCCUGAGAGCCUCCCCCAGGGAUCCCUGAUUUGAGCUGCUCACUUCUAGCUGAGCUAGAGCACAUCUGGUGGAAAGAGACAUCCCCUCUUGGUUUAACGACUCCAAACCGGCUCCCAUUUCUAAACACUAAGGUGGCUGUGGCUGAUCAGCGAAAGAGAGGACCAGGGGAAAGGGAGAUGCUGGACUGGGACAGAGCAACUGGAGAUGGGCCAUGAGAUUUAGCUCCAGGUGUGGGUCCUAAUCUGACCUUCCUCAGAGUUGGGGGUGUGGACUUUAGGUUCUGGUAUGAGACAGCCCCAAAGGCUGGGUGUGGGGACUCUCUUUCUGAGACUAAAAGCACAAUAGGUACCAGAUACAAUGAUCCAGAGUCUGACUGAGGAGGGGAAGAAGAUGCUUGAUCUAGGGUAGCUGAGCCACCUAAUGGUGAAUGGGGAAGAGGGAGCAGAUGGAGCUGUUGAUCUCGGCAGAGAUUUCAGAAAGCUCAGUGGAGUGUGCAGAUCCGGUGUGUACCCACGGCCUGCCAUUGACAGACUGACUGGGCAGCUAGGCAAGGCCACUGACAAUCCUAGGUUACACUGUAACAAAAGACACUGGGAAGUUUAACACUCCAGUGAAGAAUACAACCCACAGCAGAUUGUCAGGACAGGGAUUGUGCUGUAUGAAACCUACCUGUACAGCACCAGCCCACCAAUGGUACUGAAGAAACAACACAUUCGUAAUGAUGCCUGCA